AGAGUUUGAUCAUGGCUCAGGAUGAAUGCUGGCGGCGUGCCUAACACAUGCAAGUCGAGCGGCAGCGAGGGGUGCUUGCACCCUGUCGGCGAGCGGCGAACGGCUGAGUAGCGCGUAGGAAUUUGCCCCAAAGUGAGGGAUAACUGCCCGAAAGGGUAGCUAAUACCGCAUAUGGUCUUUGGAUUAAAGGAUUUAUCCGCUUUGGGAGAUGCCUGCAUUGGAUUAGGUAGUUGGUAGGGUAAUGGCCUACCAAGCCGACGAUCCAUAGCUGGUCUGAGAGGAUGAUCAGCCAGACUGGAACUGAGACACGGUCCAGACUCCCACGGGAGGCAGCAGUGAGGAAUCUUCCACAAUGGGCGAAAGCCUGAUGGAGCAACGCCGCGUGAAGGACGAAGGCCUUCGGGUUGUAAACUUCUUUUAUGAGUGAAGAAUAUGACGGUAACUCAUGAAUAAGCACCGGCUAACUACGUGCCAGCAGCCGCGGUCAUACGUAGGGUGCAAGCAUUAUCCGGAGUGACUGGGCGUAAAGAGUUGCGUAGGCGGUUUAAUAAGUGAAUAGUGAAACCUGGUGGCUCAACCAUACAGACUAUUAUUCAAACUGUUAAACUCGAGAAUGGUAGAGGUAACUGGAAUUUCUUGUGUAGGAGUGAAAUCCGUAGAUAUAAGAAGGAACACCGAUGGCGUAGGCAGGUUACUGGGCCAUUUCUGACGCUAAGGCACGAAAGCGUGGGGAGCGAGCCGGAUUAGAUACCCGGGUAGUCCACGCCGUAAACGAUGGAUACUAGCUGUUGGAAGUAUCGACCCUUUCAGUAGCGAAGCUAACGCGUUAAGUAUCCCGCCUGUGGAGUACGGCCCGCAAGGUAAAACAUGAAGGAAUUGACGGGGACCCGCACAAGCCGGUGGAUUAUGUUCUUUAAUUCGAAGAUAACCGAAGAACCUUACCAGGGCUUGACAUCCAGGGAAGGUCUAUGAAAGUAGACUGUGCCUUUUGGAACCCUGUGACAGGUGAUGCAUGGCCGUCGUCAGCUCGUGUCGUGAGAUGUUAGGUUAAGUCCUUCAACGAGCGCAACCCUUGCAAGUAGUUGUAUUUUUCUACUUGGACUGCCCCGGUAACGGGGAGGAAGGAGGGGAGGAUGUCAGGUCAGUAUUUCCCUUACGUCCUGGGCUAGAAACGUAAUACAAUGGCUAGUACAAUGCGCAGCGAAGCCGCGAGGUGAAGCAAAUCGCAUCAAAGCUAGUCCCAGUUCGGAUUGGAGGCUGAAACUCGCCUCCAAGAAGUCGGAAUCGCUAGUAUAUUGCGGGGUCAGCAAGUUGCGGUGAAUACGUUCCCGUGGUCUUGUACACACCGCCCGUCA
Molecule: ribosomal RNA, 1355 nt
Filed under: uncultured bacterium
Lineage: Bacteria
Description: 16S ribosomal RNA
Rfam family: Bacterial small subunit ribosomal RNA
Source: RNAcentral